RNAcentral lists this long non-coding RNA (3242 nucleotides) under Sorghum bicolor (sorghum). RNAcentral's name for it is "long non-coding RNA (SBIC_LNC003446)". The record is from RNAcentral. Lineage: Eukaryota; Viridiplantae; Streptophyta; Magnoliopsida; Poales; Poaceae.
UGCACAGAGAAAAUCAGAUUUCAUGUGUGAGACGCCGACUAAAAAUGUAAUUACUUUAUUAGUUAUAUUGUAAAACUGGCCAGCAUUUUCAAUCAUGUCUAUCUGAAAUGUUUCUAUGAACGCUGACUAAAAAUGUAAUUACUUUAUUAGUUAUAUUGUAAAACUGGCCAUCAUUUUCGAUCAUGUCUAUCUGAAAUGUUUCUAUGAACUUAAAUUCUGGGUUGUUCAAGAUUUCCAUCUAUAUUAUCACAUAACAUUUUUUAUCAACUUGGCUGUUUUAUUUUUUUUUUAAAUAAAAACAUGGUUGUCCAGAUUUUCAUCUAUAUCACUACAUAACAUUUUAGAUCAACUGGUAAAAUUGCUCAUAUUCUGACCAUAUUUCACAUAAUUUGUUAAUGCAUGCAUGUAUACUAUAAUUUAUUAAACAAAGUGAUGUCUUUGUUCUUUGGCAAACCUUUCUUGUCGAGGAAUCAACAUCAGCAGGUAAUCUGAGCCAUGCAGAGAAUGCAAGGGAUUCAUAGACGGUAACAUUUGGUGAAUGGAUGUCAUUUUGCUCACAGUAUCCUGAUAUACGAGCAAAAGUUUCUUGUUUCUUCGGGUAACCUGAUAUGGUAAUGUUGCCCUCAAUGUAUCCACUGGUCUUCCUCCCAGCCAACACAUCCAUCAGUGUGGUCUUGCCAGCACCACUGACACCCAUAAGAGCAGUAAGUACUCCUGGCCUAAACGAACCACUUAUACCUUUCAGUAGUUCCAACCGGGUCUCUGUGACACCUUGUGCUCUGAUUGCCUACAUGUUUUAUUGGAUAUAAAUAAACUGUUAUAAAUGAUUGCUUUGCACUUAGAUGGUAUGAAAACAUACAAGAAUCUGCAAGAAUGUUUGUAUUAAUUUCCUUAAACCAGCCCUUUGGGCUGGUAUGAGUGCCUUUGACUCCAUUUUUUCUUAGUAUAAUGAUGUGCAGUUCUUACUCGUGUUCGGUACAAAAAUUAAAAAUUUCCUUAAAAAGUGAAUACCUCUGGCAUGUCCACACUGUAUCUUAUAUCUUCAAAAGUGAUGGAGAGAGGUACAAAAGGGAGGACCAUUCCUUUGUUGACUUGACUAGAAUUUACUGUCGCUUCAUCAUUGCUCUCAUCCAAAGUACCUGAUAGCAUAUCACAUAUGCAAGGUUGUCAGGCACAUCAAUAUAUUCUUAUGUAAUAUUAAUUAACGAAGAUAAAACAAUAAUUACUUCUAGCUGUUACUGUAGUGUUGGCAACCCGUCCUCUCGAUGAUGCUUCUAAAACUUCACCGGUUAGAUUUGCUUGUUUUAUCUUCAACGUCUCCUCAGAAAUUGUUGGUUGAUUAGUGUCAAAUGCUGCAGGGAGCAUAAUUUGUAAGGGUUGAAUUUGAUUGUUUGCAGUAUGCAUUUUUAAUGUCCAUGUAGAUGCAGAAUACCAUUUACUCACGCUUGAGGAAUGUGAGGCAGAUAGUGUAGAGUAUAUUGAAUAGCAGCACAUAUCCAAACAAGGCACCCACACCAAUCCAGUACCAUUUUGCCUCAGGAAAAAGUCCACGAGAUUCUAGAACUAGUUUUCCAAGUGGUUCUGCUGAACCGGGGUUUGCUUGCUGCAUAUAAGAGUAUCAAUAAGCUUUAGUCAUUAUUCGUUAACUAACUUGUGAAGGUUAUACCUUUCUUAAAAUAUAUUUUACCUUAUUCCAGCUGCUACCCAGGAAUUCAUUUACUGAUAUGGCAUUUUGUGCAUACAUCAGGGGUGAUAUCCAGUACCCCCAAAUCCACCAUUUCUUCACAUUCUCUGUUAAAUCAAAGGAAUAGUUUAAUUCAAGAAUUCUUGUAUAAGUACCGCUGCCAUAUCAGAUGAAUAAUAGCUGAAAUUAGAAAGUUCAAGCCAUGUUUACAUUUAAACACUAUAUUUUGAGUUAGCUGCUUUUGCAUAUACCUCUUGCCAGGAGGAAUCCACCCAAAAGCAUGCAUAUCAGAAUGCCGAAUGAACCAAGGGUGCUUGCAACAACCUGAUGCCUUGCAAGCCCGGCAAUGAAACGGAACAAUCCUGAUGAUGCCUCGUUCAUUAGUAAGAGGAGCAGGAACUGCCUAAAAAGUCUGCAGCAGGUUUAUCAAAUUUGAUCAGGUUCUGUAAUGCACUCAUAAACAUGCUGCUCUGGGAUAGAAAUUUUGGUUUCCAUACCUUUCUACGUUGGGAUCAAAUCCAAUAACAUAGUAUGUUAUGAAGACCCAAAUUGUUACAUUCAGCAAGGAGAGGGGAGUCUUAAUGAUCCAUGAUGGCAAGGAGUAUGUCCAUGCAGGGUAGAAGAGAAGAUCCCUUUGCUUGAAGAAAACUGGGAGCUUUGCAAUAGUUAGGCCAACUUCUGCCAGUCCAUUGAACAUGAUCAUCAGGAUCCCAAAGAACAGGGCACCCAUGUAUAUCCUUCCAUCUGUUACUGAGUCACGAUGCAUAUUGGUUCGGAGAAAGACGGUCAUCGUAAUGAGUGCCAUGAGUGUUAGCUGAACAAUAGGUAGUAAACAAAAAGGAGUUGUCAUUUAAGUUCUCAUGGUGUGGCCAACAUAAUUUGAAUCUGAAAAGCCCUGGUUCUCGAGAAUCACCUGAACUGCCUUGAAUAUGUAUACAAAGGAAUUUCUUUUCAUUAGCAAUAUCUCUCUGUCAAUAUUUGCUUUAAGUAGCUCUCUCACGCUGGCGCCAUAUUUUGAUGUUUUCAGAGCAGCAGGAUGACUCGUACUCUUGUCAAAUGGGACUGCCAACUCAUUUCGUAUAGCCUCACCAACAUGGAAAGAUUGAAAUGCUUCUGCAAACUCCUUCACGGGGACAUAUCGGUAGGUGUCAUCACCAUGUUUCCAGUAUUGUCUCUGAUCUUUCUUUGAUGUAACCUAUCACAUUUCAAUUAUUGCUCGUCAAACUUGUGCACUAAUAUACCCCAAAAAAAGAUCAGCACUACUGAAUAAUAUGAUCCUAGCAUUACAUAUUUCUGAAAUGUGUACUUCGUUAGGUAUUUCGAGAUCUUUUCUUUUUAAUUAAAUACCCUUCUAGAAAAAGCUUGAUGCAGAACUGUAAUGAAAGUACAGAACUCACUUCCUGCAGGAAGUCGGCUACACCUUUCCGCUGCGGGCAUUUGAAGCCAACUGACUCAAAGAACUCAAGAACAUAUUCACGAGGACCAUUGUAGACAACCUGACCAUCUGAGAGAAGAAUUAUAUCAUCAAACAAUUCAUAUGUCUCAGGUGCAGGUUGUA